Vigna angularis (adzuki bean) is the source of this 338-nucleotide long non-coding RNA. RefSeq lists it as uncharacterized. NCBI's taxonomy places the organism in Eukaryota, Viridiplantae, Streptophyta, Magnoliopsida, Fabales, Fabaceae. The transcript is spliced from 3 exons. The record is from RefSeq and is a predicted model, not a curated record.
GCACCGUAGAAGCACUUACGGCGUCAAGAGCUUCCGUUUGAACCGAUCAGUUUCAGAUUCUAUGCUGUUCCGUACCUCAAGAGCAUAGUCUUUUAAGAGAUUGGUGGUGAGCUAUUCUGUUCAAACUGUGAACGUUCGUUCACUUUAUAAGAAGGAGACAUAUUGCUGGAAGAGAUGCGGGAAGAGGAAAAUCUGGUCGAGGUUGAAGUGAAGACCGAACAAUAGGACGUUCGGUUAGUACUUUAGUUUGUAUAGUAAGGUGGUCGUUCGAUCACCCUUCCUUUUGUUUAGAACGACCGUUCGGUAGUUCUUUUGUAAACCGAUCAGUCGGGAGUGUA